This 3084-nucleotide ribosomal RNA is filed under the name Salmonella enterica subsp. enterica serovar Hartford. RNAcentral describes it as "bacterial LSU rRNA". It matches the Rfam family "Bacterial large subunit ribosomal RNA". The record is from RNAcentral. Lineage: Bacteria; Pseudomonadati; Pseudomonadota; Gammaproteobacteria; Enterobacterales; Enterobacteriaceae.
UUAAGCGACUAAGCGUACACGGUGGAUGCCCUGGCAGUCAGAGGCGAUGAAGGGCGUGCUAAUCUGCGAUAAGCGCCGGUAAGGUGAUAUGAACCGUUAUAACCGGCGAUACCCGAAUGGGGAAACCCAGUGUGACUCGUCACACUAUCAUUAACUGAAUCCAUAGGUUAAUGAGGCGAACCGGGGGAACUGAAACAUCUAAGUACCCCGAGGAAAAGAAAUCAACCGAGAUUCCCCCAGUAGCGGCGAGCGAACGGGGAGGAGCCCAGAGCCUGAAUCAGCAUGUGUGUUAGUGGAAGCGUCUGGAAAGGCGCGCGAUACAGGGUGACAGCCCCGUACACAAAAGCGCAUGUGCUGUGAGCUCGAUGAGUAGGGCGGGACACGUGGUAUCCUGUCUGAAUAUGGGGGGACCAUCCUCCAAGGCUAAAUACUCCUGACUGACCGAUAGUGAACCAGUACCGUGAGGGAAAGGCGAAAAGAACCCCGGCGAGGGGAGUGAAAAAGAACCUGAAACCGUGUACGUACAAGCAGUGGGAGCCCCACCACUAAGCCAGUGGUGAACUCCACAUACGCAUCCUUUGCUGAGGAUACGGUUAACGGAGCGAAAGCGACGUUCAACCGCAAAAGAAGCAGAGGGGGCUUAGUGGUGGGGUGACUGCGUACCUUUUGUAUAAUGGGUCAGCGACUUAUAUUCUGUAGCAAGGUUAACCGAAUAGGGGAGCCGGAGGGAAACCGAGUCUUAAUUGGGCGUUAAGUUGCAGGGUAUAGACCCGAAACCCGGUGAUCUAGCCAUGGGCAGGUUGAAGGUUGGGUAACACUAACUGGAGGACCGAACCGACUAAUGUUGAAAAAUUAGCGGAUGACCUGUGGCUGGGGGUGAAAGGCCAAUCAAACCGGGAGAUAGCUGGUUCUCCCCGAAAGCUAUUUAGGUAGCGCCUCGUGAACUCAUCUCCGGGGGUAGAGCACUGUUUCGGCUAGGGGGCCAUCCCGGCUUACCAACCCGAUGCAAACUGCGAAUACCGGAGAAUGUUAUCACGGGAGACACACGGCGGGUGCUAACGUCCGUCGUGAAGAGGGAAACAACCCAGACCGCCAGCUAAGGUCCCAAAGUCAUGGUUAAGUGGGAAACGAUGUGGGAAGGCCCAGACAGCCAGGAUGUUGGCUUAGAAGCAGCCAUCAUUUAAAGAAAGCGUAAUAGCUCACUGGUCGAGUCGGCCUGCGCGGAAGAUGUAACGGGGCUAAACCAUGCACCGAAGCUGCGGCAGCGAACGUAUCACUUAAAGCGAUUCAGCGGGUUACGAUUGACGGAGCGAAGCGACGUCAAAGCGUAUACAAAGUCGAGUCGGUUUAAGGAUACGUUCGUUGGGUAGGGGAGCGUUCUGUAAGCCUGUGAAGGUGGCCUGUGAGGGUUGCUGGAGGUAUCAGAAGUGCGAAUGCUGACAUAAGUAACGAUAAAGCGGGUGAAAAGCCCGCUCGCCGGAAGACCAAGGGUUCCUGUCCAACGUUAAUCGGGGCAGGGUGAGUCGACCCCUAAGGCGAGGCCGAAAGGCGUAGUCGAUGGGAAACGGGUUAAUAUUCCCGUACUUGGUGUUACUGCGAAGGGGGGACGGAGAAGGCUAUGUUGGCCGGGCGACGGUUGUCCCGGUUUAAGCGUGUAGGCUGGUUUUCCAGGCAAAUCCGGAAAAUCAAGGCUGAGGCGUGACGACGAGGCACUACGGUGCUGAAGCAACAAAUGCCCUGCUUCCAGGAAAAGCCUCUAAGCAUCAGGUAACAUCAAAUCGUACCCCAAACCGACACAGGUGGUCAGGUAGAGAAUACCAAGGCGCUUGAGAGAACUCGGGUGAAGGAACUAGGCAAAAUGGUGCCGUAACUUCGGGAGAAGGCACGCUGACACGUAGGUGAAGUGAUUUACUCAUGGAGCUGAAGUCAGUCGAAGAUACCAGCUGGCUGCAACUGUUUAUUAAAAACACAGCACUGUGCAAACACGAAAGUGGACGUAUACGGUGUGACGCCUGCCCGGUGCCGGAAGGUUAAUUGAUGGGGUCAGCGCAAGCGAAGCUCCUGAUCGAAGCCCCGGUAAACGGCGGCCGUAACUAUAACGGUCCUAAGGUAGCGAAAUUCCUUGUCGGGUAAGUUCCGACCUGCACGAAUGGCGUAAUGAUGGCCAGGCUGUCUCCACCCGAGACUCAGUGAAAUUGAACUCGCUGUGAAGAUGCAGUGUACCCGCGGCAAGACGGAAAGACCCCGUGAACCUUUACUAUAGCUUGACACUGAACAUUGAGCCUUGAUGUGUAGGAUAGGUGGGAGGCUUUGAAGUGUGGACGCCAGUCUGCAUGGAGCCGACCUUGAAAUACCACCCUUUAAUGUUUGAUGUUCUAACGUGGACCCGUUACCCGGGUUGCGGACAGUGUCUGGUGGGUAGUUUGACUGGGGCGGUCUCCUCCUAAAGAGUAACGGAGGAGCACGAAGGUUGGCUAAUCCUGGUCGGACAUCAGGAGGUUAGUGCAAUGGCAUAAGCCAGCUUGACUGCGAGCGUGACGGCGCGAGCAGGUGCGAAAGCAGGUCAUAGUGAUCCGGUGGUUCUGAAUGGAAGGGCCAUCGCUCAACGGAUAAAAGGUACUCCGGGGAUAACAGGCUGAUACCGCCCAAGAGUUCAUAUCGACGGCGGUGUUUGGCACCUCGAUGUCGGCUCAUCACAUCCUGGGGCUGAAGUAGGUCCCAAGGGUAUGGCUGUUCGCCAUUUAAAGUGGUACGCGAGCUGGGUUUAGAACGUCGUGAGACAGUUCGGUCCCUAUCUGCCGUGGGCGCUGGAGAACUGAGGGGGGCUGCUCCUAGUACGAGAGGACCGGAGUGGACGCAUCACUGGUGUUCGGGUUGUCAUGCCAAUGGCACUGCCCGGUAGCUAAAUGCGGAAGAGAUAAGUGCUGAAAGCAUCUAAGCACGAAACUUGCCCCGAGAUGAGUUCUCCCUGAGACUUAGAGUCUCCUGAAGGAACGUUGAAGACGACGACGUUGAUAGGCCGGGUGUGUAAGCGCAGCGAUGCGUUGAGCUAACCGGUACUAAUGAACCGUGAGGCUUAACCUU